Molecule: ribosomal RNA, 574 nt
Filed under: uncultured archaeon
Lineage: Archaea
Description: bacterial SSU rRNA
Rfam family: Archaeal small subunit ribosomal RNA
Source: RNAcentral
AGAAACCUUUGCAAUGUGCGAAAGCACGACAAGGUUAAUCCGAGUGUCUCCUGCUAAAGGAGUCUUUUGUCAGUUGUAGAAUCACUGGUGAAUAAGGGGUGGGCAAGUUCUGGUGUCAGCCGCCGCGGUAAAACCAGCACCUCGAGUGGUCAGGAGGUUUAUUGGGCCUAAAGCAUCCGUAGCCGGUUGCAUAAGUUUUCGGUUAAAUCUAUGCGCUUAACGUAUAGGCCGCCGAAAAUACUGUGCAGCUAGGGAGUGGGAGAGGUACACGGUACUCGAUAGGAAGGGGUAAAAUCCUUUGAUCUAUUGAAGACCACCUGUGGCGAAGGCGGUGUACCAGAACACGUUCGACGGUGAGGGAUGAAAGCUGGGGGAGCAAACCGGAUUAGAUACCCGGGUAGUCCCAGCUGUAAACGAUGCAGACUCGGUGAUGCAUUGGCUUGUGGCCAAUGCAGUGCCGCAGGGAAGCCGUUAAGUCUGCCGCCUGGGAAGUACGUACGCAAGUAUGAACUUAAAGGAAUUGGCGGGGGAGCACCACAAGGGGUGAAGCCUGCGUUCAAUUGGAGUCACGCCA